UACCUCGGACCGGGCCAGAGCCCAGUCGGGGC
Molecule: small RNA, 32 nt
Filed under: Bombyx mori (domestic silkworm)
Lineage: Eukaryota; Metazoa; Arthropoda; Insecta; Lepidoptera; Bombycidae
Description: ovarian small RNA-6080
Source: RNAcentral